AUCUAUGUCUUCAAUCA
RNAcentral lists this small RNA (17 nucleotides) under Arabidopsis thaliana (thale cress). RNAcentral describes it as "ATSL285180". Lineage: Eukaryota; Viridiplantae; Streptophyta; Magnoliopsida; Brassicales; Brassicaceae. The record is from RNAcentral.